Molecule: ribosomal RNA, 333 nt
Filed under: uncultured bacterium
Lineage: Bacteria
Description: bacterial SSU rRNA
Rfam family: Bacterial small subunit ribosomal RNA
Source: RNAcentral
GACGAACGCUGGCGGCGUGCCUAAUACAUGCAAGUCGAGCGAGCUUGCCUAGAUGAUUUUAGUGCUUGCACUAAAUGAAACUAGAUACAAGCGAGCGGCGGACGGGUGAGUAACGCGUGGGUAACCUGCCUCACACUGGGGGAUAACAGUCAGAAAUGGCUGCUAAUACCGCAUAAGCGCACGGGACCGCAUGGUUUUGUGUGAAAAACUCCGGUGGUGUGAGAUGGACCCGCGUUGGAUUAGCCAGUUGGCAGGGUAACGGCCUACCAAAGCGACGAUCCAUAGCCGGCCUGAGAGGGUGAACGGCCACAUUGGGACUGAGACACGGCCCAG